RNAcentral lists this ribosomal RNA (739 nucleotides) under uncultured bacterium. RNAcentral describes it as "bacterial SSU rRNA". It matches the Rfam family "Bacterial small subunit ribosomal RNA", at positions 8 to 796 of the family's 1533-position model. The record is from RNAcentral.
AGAGUUUGAUCCUGGCUCAGAGCGAACGCUGGCGGCAUGCUUAACACAUGCAAGUCUGACGGGCCGGGCAACCGGUCAGUGGCGGACGGGUGAGUAACGCGUAGGAACGUAUCCACGGCUGGGGGAUAACGCCUGGAAACGGGCGCUAAUACCGCAUGGGUCCUGAGGGACAAACCCGAGGCGGCUGUGGAGCGGCCUGCGUCCGAUUAGGUAGUUGGUGGGGUAAAGGCCUCCAAGCCUACGAUCGGUAGCUGGUCUGAGAGGACGACCAGCCACACUGGGACUGAGACACGGCCCAGACUCCUACGGGAGGCAGCAGUGGGGAAUAUUGGGCAAUGGGCGAAAGCCUGCCAGCAAUGCCGCGUGGGUGAAGAAGGUCUUCGGAUUGUAAAGCCCUUUCGGCGGGGACGAUGAUGACGGUACCCGCAGAAGAAGCCCCGGCUNNCUUCGUGCCAGCAGCCGCGGUAAUACGAAGGGGGCUACGUUGCUCGGAAUUACUGGGCGUAAAGGGCGCGUAGCGGCGCACCAAGUCAGGCGUGAAAUUCCUGGGCUCAACCUGGGGGCUGCGCUUGAGACUGGUGUGCUUGAGGAUGGAAGAGGCUCGUGGAAUUCCCAGUGUAGAGGUGAAAUUCGUAGAUAUUGGGAAGAACACCGGUGGCGAAGGCGGCGAGCUGGUCCAUUACUGNNGCUGAGGCGCGACAGCGUGGGGAGCAAACAGGAUUAGAUACCCUAGUAGUCC